Long non-coding RNA from Hirundo rustica (Barn swallow), 1807 nucleotides. RefSeq lists it as uncharacterized. Lineage: Eukaryota; Metazoa; Chordata; Aves; Passeriformes; Hirundinidae. The record is from RefSeq and is a predicted model, not a curated record. The transcript is spliced from 4 exons.
GGCAGCAACAGAGCAGCAGCAGCAACACAGAACUUCAUCUCCUCUGCUUUGUAUGUUUAAUGGUACUGAUUUUCCUCUCACCUGCUUUUUUGUCUUCAUUUUGAUAAGUUUACCUAGUUAUUUGGCAUGACUGACGUCCUGGAGCAAUAAAUUCCAAGACCAAACUGCAUAACAAGAUUUAUAACUACUACUUCCUGAUACAGGCAAAUCCUUUUAUAAGGCUAAUGAAACUGCAUCCCUUGGUAUAAAUGUACUCAUGACUUUAUCCCAUAUAACAUCCAGCCCUACAAUAUCACAGUAGUCCACAGCAGCAUAGCAAAACAGUGCAUGGUAUGGAGAAGCAGGCUUUCCUGUGAAAGAAAAGAAGACCCAUGGAAGAAAAAAGGAGUGUUGUAGUUGGUGCUGUGGCAUCACAGUGUUCAUGUUUGUGAGAAGAAUGCAAUUCCAAACCAGGUCCUUGCUCCAGCUGCCAUAUUAGCAUGUACAGAGCUGAGAAUCAUCACUGGUGGGGAAAGAAGAAAGGAUUAAGAAAAAAAAAAGAAAAAAAUGGGACAAAUUUGCACGUUUAUUAAGAUUAAGAAUGGAGGCCUACUGACAUCUUGCAACUCUGGAAAAGCCAAGGCAGCACCAGGAUUCAGGUACAAUGGCCGUGCUCACUGGCCCAGCAUGGUGGCGUUCCAUGGGCACCAGCAAAGUUAUUGCUUGCUAAGACAUCUGACACAAAAUUUCCCAGUGGUAGCAGAGGAGCCCAUCAGCUCCCCUAGUCAUCUCUUGUAAGAUGCAAGAGACUGUAGUACUCUCCAGCUCUUUGCUUCUUUGGAUAAGUGCUCUCACACCCUUUUGAUCCAUUGCUACACAGAGUUUUGGUUGUCUUUCCACUUGCACAGUCCUAACAUGUUGGGUUUCAUUCUUUCAUCUUCACGGUAUUUUGAUUCUUUGCCUUUAGGCCAAAGAUCCAUCCAUAGAACUCUAGAUAAGCAAAAUCUGCUCUAGUAUGUGUAAUGGUUAUAUAUUGGCUCUAAACAAGCACAGUUUGUCUCCCUGGGAACAGCUAGAUAUAGGCAACCUUAUUCAAGAGCAGCCUGUUACCUUCAGCAGACUCAGGUGAGAUGUAAAGCCACGUGGGAUGAAAGCUAAAGAUUUCUUAUUGUGCCUCUAUGCAGGUAUUUGUCAGUAUUACUUCAACAGGCAGUUUUAACAGGAGGAGCAUCAAAUCUGGAGAUUGUAUUUCAUUUUUUUAUAGAUGCUAAUAAUAGCAUUCUGGGAAUAUGCAUGUCAUUUCAAUGCAAACAGCCCUGUUCUGUGCAAACUUGCCUUCUGACCAGGAAGAUAAUGCACAUUUUUAACAGCAAGGUUAAUUGGGUAAUAAAACAAAUUUUUAAUGGUAAUCUAGUUAAUUUCCAGCAUUUGUGGACUGUAAUCUAGACUGAAAGUAAUCUGACUCUCCAUCAGGAGUUAUAGUUCUGGCAGUGAAAGCACUUGGUAAAACAGGAUUUGUUUUGUAGUAGGUGAAACUCAAUUAUGGCUUUGACUCUGUGAAACCAAUUCUGUCUGAAUGAACAGUAAACCAAUUUCUGUUAGUUCAUGUUGAGUACUUUCACUCUACAAUUCCAAAAGCAGAACAGCUUGUUUAAAUCUGAAAUGAUGAGUUUCCCCAAUUCCCCUGAAUAAAAGGCGGAAUGCUGAAUCCACUGAAGUAUUCCCAUGUGAGCUUAAUGCACUGUAUGGCAAACAAAACAUGAAAAAGUAAAGUCAGCAUAAAAUCCUACAAGUCAGAGGCAAAUGGGGUUGCAUGAAUGCAUGAGUC